This is a long non-coding RNA of Actinia tenebrosa (Australian red waratah sea anemone), 332 nucleotides long. The record is from RefSeq and is a predicted model, not a curated record. NCBI's taxonomy places the organism in Eukaryota, Metazoa, Cnidaria, Anthozoa, Actiniaria, Actiniidae.
GAGUUGCGGGCUCAAAGUGUCUGGCCGCCAUUUUGGAUUGAACUCGUGCAUCGUGAAAACGUUUGGAUUUUAUAAAGUUUUUAAAAGCUUUUAGUGUUGUUAUGAUCUAAAUACAUCUAAUUUAACAUGGAGACCAUAUUAGAACAACAGAGGAAGCUUCAUGAGGAGCGAGAAAGGCUUGAAGAGGCGAUGUCCGGUGAAAUGAUGCACAAAAUCAACAAAAAAUCCUCGGGGAAAGAAAAGAUAAACAUUGACCACCAAAUACGAUCAUUACUCGAGAGAUCCGUUGAUGUAGCAGACAACAUUGUUAAGUUAUAUGAAGAUAGUGAUGG